UGCAGUCGAGCGGUAUAGCAGGUGAUCCUGCAUGCCUAAUACUGCGCGAAGGGGGGAGAAAUAUGCCUAAGCAUCCCCCAGGGUGGGGGGGACAACGUCUCAAAAGGAGCUAUAACCCCGCACAAUCCCUAGAGGAAAAAGGGGGAGACCUUCAGGCCUUGCGCACUGAGAUGACCAUGGGUCAGAUUGUCUUUGGGG
Molecule: ribosomal RNA, 198 nt
Filed under: bacterium Horo_15
Lineage: Bacteria
Description: partial 16S ribosomal RNA
Source: RNAcentral